CUUGCACAGAAUGAUUAGUGGCGAACGGGUGAGUAACACGUGAGUAACCUGCCCUUAACUUCGGGAUAAGCCUGGGAAACUGGGUCUAAUACCGGAUACGACCAUCUGGCGCAUGCCAUGGUGGUGGAAAGCUUUAUGCGGUUUUGGAUGGACUCGCGGCCUAUCAGCUUGUUGGUUGGGGUAAUGGCCCACCAAGGCGACGACGGGUAGCCGGCCUGAGAGGGUGACCGGCCACACUGGGACUGAGACACGGCCCAGACUCCUACGGGAGGCAGCAGUGGGGAAUAUUGCACAAUGGGCGAAAGCCUGAUGCAGCGACGCCGCGUGAGGGAUGACGGCCUUCGGGUUGUAAACCUCUUUCAGCAGGGAAGAAGCGAAAGUGACGGUACCUGCAGAAGAAGCGCCGGCUAACUACGUGCCAGCAGCCGCGGUAAUACGUAGGGCGCAAGCGUUAUCCGGAAUUAUUGGGCGUAAAGAGCUCGUAGGCGGUUUGUCGCGUCUGCUGUGAAAGCCCGGGGCUCAACCCCGGGUCUGCAGUGGGUACGGGCAGACUAGAGUGCAGUAGGGGAGACUGGAAUUCCUGGUGUAGCGGUGAAAUGCGCAGAUAUCAGGAGGAACACCGAUGGCGAAGGCAGGUCUCUGGGCUGUAACUGACGCUGAGGAGCGAAAGCAUGGGGAGCGAACAGGAUUAGAUACCCUGGUAGUCCAUGCCGUAAACGU
This 720-nucleotide ribosomal RNA is filed under the name Arthrobacter luteolus. RNAcentral describes it as "bacterial SSU rRNA". It matches the Rfam family "Bacterial small subunit ribosomal RNA", at positions 79 to 809 of the family's 1533-position model. Lineage: Bacteria; Bacillati; Actinomycetota; Actinomycetes; Micrococcales; Micrococcaceae. The record is from RNAcentral.